RNAcentral lists this ribosomal RNA (373 nucleotides) under Clostridioides difficile. RNAcentral's name for it is "bacterial SSU rRNA". It matches the Rfam family "Bacterial small subunit ribosomal RNA", at positions 183 to 575 of the family's 1533-position model. Lineage: Bacteria; Bacillati; Bacillota; Clostridia; Peptostreptococcales; Peptostreptococcaceae. The record is from RNAcentral.
GAGAGGCAUCUCUUAAAUAUCAAAGGUGAGCCAGUACAGGAUGGACCCGCGUCUGAUUAGUUAGUUGGUAAGGUAACGGCUUACCAAGGCGACGAUCAGUAGCCGACCUGAGAGGGUGAUCGGCCACAUUGGAACUGAGACACGGUCCAAACUCCUACGGGAGGCAGCAGUGGGGAAUAUUGCACAAUGGGCGAAAGCCUGAUGCAGCAACGCCGCGUGAGUGAUGAAGGCCUUCGGGUCGUAAAGCUCUGUCCUCAAGGAAGAUAAUGACGGUACUUGAGGAGGAAGCCCCGGCUAACUACGUGCCAGCAGCCGCGGUAAUACGUAGGGGGCUAGCGUUAUCCGGAUUUACUGGGCGUAAAGGGGGCGUAGG